This 2931-nucleotide ribosomal RNA is filed under the name Escherichia coli. RNAcentral's name for it is "bacterial LSU rRNA". It matches the Rfam family "Bacterial large subunit ribosomal RNA". Lineage: Bacteria; Pseudomonadati; Pseudomonadota; Gammaproteobacteria; Enterobacterales; Enterobacteriaceae. The record is from RNAcentral.
GGGUUGUGAGGUUAAGCGACUAAGCGUACACGGUGGAUGCCCUGGCAGUCAGAGGCGAUGAAGGACGUGCUAAUCUGCGAUAAGCGUCGGUAAGGUGAUAUGAACCGUUAUAACCGGCGAUUUCCGAAUGGGGAAACCCAGUGUGUUUCGACACACUAUCAUUAACUGAAUCCAUAGGUUAAUGAGGCGAACCGGGGGAACUGAAACAUCUAAGUACCCCGAGGAAAAGAAAUCAACCGAGAUUCCCCCAGUAGCGGCGAGCGAACGGGGAGCAGCCCAGAGCCUGAAUCAGUGUGUGUGUUAGUGGAAGCGUCUGGAAAGGCGCGCGAUACAGGGUGACAGCCCCGUACACAAAAAUGCACAUAUUGUGAGCUCGAUGAGUAGGGCGGGACACGUGGUAUCCUGUCUGAAUAUGGGGGGACCAUCCUCCAAGGCUAAAUACUCCUGACUGACCGAUAGUGAACCAGUACCGUGAGGGAAAGGCGAAAAGAACCCCGGCGAGGGGAGUGAAAAAGAACCUGAAACCGUGUACGUACAAGCAGUGGGAGCCUCUUUUAUGGGGUGACUGCGUACCUUUUGUAUAAUGGGUCAGCGACUUAUAUUCUGUAGCAAGGUUAACCGAAUAGGGGAGCCGAAGGGAAACCGAGUCUUAACUGGGCGUUAAGUUGCAGGGUAUAGACCCGAAACCCGGUGAUCUAGCCAUGGGCAGGUUGAAGGUUGGGUAACACUAACUGGAGGACCGAACCGACUAAUGUUGAAAAAUUAGCGGAUGACUUGUGGCUGGGGGUGAAAGGCCAAUCAAACCGGGAGAUAGCUGGUUCUCCCCGAAAGCUAUUUAGGUAGCGCCUCGUGAAUUCAUCUCCGGGGGUAGAGCACUGUUUCGGCAAGGGGGUCAUCCCGACUUACCAACCCGAUGCAAACUGCGAAUACCGGAGAAUGUUAUCACGGGAGACACACGGCGGGUGCUAACGUCCGUCGUGAAGAGGGAAACAACCCAGACCGCCAGCUAAGGUCCCAAAGUCAUGGUUAAGUGGGAAACGAUGUGGGAAGGCCCAGACAGCCAGGAUGUUGGCUUAGAAGCAGCCAUCAUUUAAAGAAAGCGUAAUAGCUCACUGGUCGAGUCGGCCUGCGCGGAAGAUGUAACGGGGCUAAACCAUGCACCGAAGCUGCGGCAGCGACGCUUAUGCGUUGUUGGGUAGGGGAGCGUUCUGUAAGCCUGUGAAGGUGUGCUGUGAGGCAUGCUGGAGGUAUCAGAAGUGCGAAUGCUGACAUAAGUAACGAUAAAGCGGGUGAAAAGCCCGCUCGCCGGAAGACCAAGGGUUCCUGUCCAACGUUAAUCGGGGCAGGGUGAGUCGACCCCUAAGGCGAGGCCGAAAGGCGUAGUCGAUGGGAAACAGGUUAAUAUUCCUGUACUUGGUGUUACUGCGAAGGGGGGACGGAGAAGGCUAUGUUGGCCGGGCGACGGUUGUCCCGGUUUAAGCGUGUAGGCUGGUUUUCCAGGCAAAUCCGGAAAAUCAAGGCUGAGGCGUGAUGACGAGGCACUACGGUGCUGAAGCAACAAAUGCCCUGCUUCCAGGAAAAGCCUCUAAGCAUCAGGUAACAUCAAAUCGUACCCCAAACCGACACAGGUGGUCAGGUAGAGAAUACCAAGGCGCUUGAGAGAACUCGGGUGAAGGAACUAGGCAAAAUGGUGCCGUAACUUCGGGAGAAGGCACGCUGAUAUGUAGGUGAAGUCCCUUGCGGAUGGAGCUGAAAUCAGUCGAAGAUACCAGCUGGCUGCAACUGUUUAUUAAAAACACAGCACUGUGCAAACACGAAAGUGGACGUAUACGGUGUGACGCCUGCCCGGUGCCGGAAGGUUAAUUGAUGGGGUCAGCGCAAGCGAAGCUCUUGAUCGAAGCCCCGGUAAACGGCGGCCGUAACUAUAACGGUCCUAAGGUAGCGAAAUUCCUUGUCGGGUAAGUUCCGACCUGCACGAAUGGCGUAAUGAUGGCCAGGCUGUCUCCACCCGAGACUCAGUGAAAUUGAACUCGCUGUGAAGAUGCAGUGUACCCGCGGCAAGACGGAAAGACCCCGUGAACCUUUACUAUAGCUUGACACUGAACAUUGAGCCUUGAUGUGUAGGAUAGGUGGGAGGCUUUGAAGUGUGGACGCCAGUCUGCAUGGAGCCGACCUUGAAAUACCACCCUUUAAUGUUUGAUGUUCUAACGUGGACCCGUGAUCCGGGUUGCGGACAGUGUCUGGUGGGUAGUUUGACUGGGGCGGUCUCCUCCUAAAGAGUAACGGAGGAGCACGAAGGUUGGCUAAUCCUGGUCGGACAUCAGGAGGUUAGUGCAAUGGCAUAAGCCAGCUUGACUGCGAGCGUGACGGCGCGAGCAGGUGCGAAAGCAGGUCAUAGUGAUCCGGUGGUUCUGAAUGGAAGGGCCAUCGCUCAACGGAUAAAAGGUACUCCGGGGAUAACAGGCUGAUACCGCCCAAGAGUUCAUAUCGACGGCGGUGUUUGGCACCUCGAUGUCGGCUCAUCACAUCCUGGGGCUGAAGUAGGUCCCAAGGGUAUGGCUGUUCGCCAUUUAAAGUGGUACGCGAGCUGGGUUUAGAACGUCGUGAGACAGUUCGGUCCCUAUCUGCCGUGGGCGCUGGAGAACUGAGGGGGGCUGCUCCUAGUACGAGAGGACCGGAGUGGACGCAUCACUGGUGUUCGGGUUGUCAUGCCAAUGGCACUGCCCGGUAGCUAAAUGCGGAAGAGAUAAGUGCUGAAAGCAUCUAAGCACGAAACUUGCCCCGAGAUGAGUUCUCCCUGACCCUUUAAGGGUCCUGAAGGAACGUUGAAGACGACGACGUUGAUAGGCCGGGUGUGUAAGCGCAGCGAUGCGUUGAGCUAACCGGUACUAAUGAACCGUGAGGCUUAACCUUACAACGCCGAAGGUGUUU